UACGUAGGCGGCGAGCGUUGUCCGGAUUUAUUGGGUUUAAAGGGUGCGUAGGCGGCUUUGUAAGUCAGUGGUGAAAUACUCCAGCUUAACUGGAGGGGUGCCAUUGAUACUGCGGAGCUUGAGUACAGAUGAGGUAGGCGGAAUUGACGGUGUAGCGGUGAAGUGCAUAGAUAUCGUCAAGAACACCGAUAGCGAAGGCAGCUUACUGGGCUGUAACUGACGCUGAUGCACGAAAGCGUGGGUAGCAAACAGG
RNAcentral lists this ribosomal RNA (253 nucleotides) under uncultured bacterium. RNAcentral describes it as "partial 16S ribosomal RNA". It matches the Rfam family "Bacterial small subunit ribosomal RNA", at positions 524 to 776 of the family's 1533-position model. The record is from RNAcentral.